GCUAAUACCGCAUACGUCCUACGGNGAAAGCGGGGGAUCUUCGGACCUCGCGCCAUUAGAUGAGCCUAGGUCGGAUUAGCUAGUUGGUGAGGUAAUGGCUCACCAAGGCGACGAUCCGUAACUGGUCUGAGAGGAUGAUCAGUCACACUGGAACUGAGACACGGUCCAGACUCCUACGGGAGGCAGCAGUGGGGAAUAUUGGACAAUGGGCGAAAGCCUGAUCCAGCCAUGCCGCGUGUGUGAAGAAGGUCUUCGGAUUGUAAAGCACUUUAAGUUGGGAGGAAGGGUAGUAACCUAAUACGUUGCUACUUUGACGUUACCGACAGAAUAAGCACCGGCUAACUUCGUG
This 349-nucleotide ribosomal RNA is filed under the name uncultured bacterium. RNAcentral describes it as "bacterial SSU rRNA". It matches the Rfam family "Bacterial small subunit ribosomal RNA", at positions 162 to 507 of the family's 1533-position model. The record is from RNAcentral.